AGGAGGACGCCGAAGGUGGGGCUAAUGACUGGGGUGAAGUCGUAACAAGGUAGCCGUACCGGAAGGUGCGGCUGGAUCACCUCCUAACAGGGAGACAACAAAAUGUUAAAUAUUAAUUUUGUCACCUUAGGUCGAUCGGUAUCUCACAUUCUUAAUUUCUUAAGGAUUUUAUUUCCUAAGUUUUUUCUAGGUCACACCCAUUACUUUUCCUGGGCCAUUAGCUCAGGUGGUUAGAGCGCACCCCUGAUAAGGGUGAGGUCCCUGGUUCAAGUCCAGGAUGGCCCAUAUCUCUAUGUUGGGGGUAUAGCUCAGUUGGUAGAGCGCCUGCUUUGCAAGCAGGAUGUCAGCGGUUCGAGUCCGCUUACCUCCACUGAUUACCACCUCUUCCAUAAUGCAUAUAGGAAAAUGUUUUGAGUUGUGAUCAAAUUCUGGACGAAUCUAGCUUCCUAAUUAAACAAAUUAAGAUGCUGGACUCAUUGAAUUAAUUUCAUUGUUUUCAGAGAACCUUGACAACUGCAUAGAUUAUUUUUAAAGACAAUUAAGCAUCUUUAAUGAUGCAGAUUUAUUAUUUGUGCGAAUGCAUUAAUAACAAUUCUAUUAAGCUGAUGCUUCAAUUUUUGAAGUUAUUGGUCAAGCUACAAAGGGCUCACGGAGGAUACCUAGGC
This 665-nucleotide unclassified non-coding RNA is filed under the name uncultured Prochlorococcus sp. RNAcentral's name for it is "partial may contain 16S ribosomal RNA, 16S-23S ribosomal RNA intergenic spacer, and 23S ribosomal RNA". The stretch from base 298 to 370 matches the Rfam family "tRNA". The record is from RNAcentral. Lineage: Bacteria; Bacillati; Cyanobacteriota; Cyanophyceae; Synechococcales; Prochlorococcaceae.